RNAcentral lists this ribosomal RNA (626 nucleotides) under Bacillus sp. DW137. RNAcentral describes it as "bacterial SSU rRNA". It matches the Rfam family "Bacterial small subunit ribosomal RNA", at positions 46 to 652 of the family's 1533-position model. Lineage: Bacteria; Bacillati; Bacillota; Bacilli; Caryophanales; Bacillaceae. The record is from RNAcentral.
GCCUAAUACAUGCAAGUCGAGCGAAUGGAUUAAGAGCUUGCUCUUAUGAAGUUAGCGGCGGACGGGUGAGUAACACGUGGGUAACCUGCCCAUAAGACUGGGAUAACUCCGGGAAACCGGGGCUAAUACCGGAUAACAUUUUGAACCGCAUGGUUCGAAAUUGAAAGGCGGCUUCGGCUGUCACUUAUGGAUGGACCCGCGUCGCAUUAGCUAGUUGGUGAGGUAACGGCUCACCAAGGCAACGAUGCGUAGCCGACCUGAGAGGGUGAUCGGCCACACUGGGACUGAGACACGGCCCAGACUCCUACGGGAGGCAGCAGUAGGGAAUCUUCCGCAAUGGACGAAAGUCUGACGGAGCAACGCCGCGUGAGUGAUGAAGGCUUUCGGGUCGUAAAACUCUGUUGUUAGGGAAGAACAAGUGCUAGUUGAAUAAGCUGGCACCUUGACGGUACCUAACCAGAAAGCCACGGCUAACUACGUGCCAGCAGCCGCGGUAAUACGUAGGUGGCAAGCGUUAUCCGGAAUUAUUGGGCGUAAAGCGCGCGCAGGUGGUUUCUUAAGUCUGAUGUGAAAGCCCACGGCUCAACCGUGGAGGGUCAUUGGAAACUGGGAGACUUGAGUGCAGA